Molecule: ribosomal RNA, 783 nt
Filed under: uncultured bacterium
Lineage: Bacteria
Description: bacterial SSU rRNA
Rfam family: Bacterial small subunit ribosomal RNA
Source: RNAcentral
AGAGUUUGAUCCUGGCUCAGGACGAACGCUGGCGGCGUGCUUAACACAUGCAAGUCGAACGAUGAACCACUUCGGUGGGGAUUAGUGGCGAACGGGUGAGUAACACGUGGGCAAUCUGCCCUGCACUCUGGGACAAGCCCUGGAAACGGGGUCUAAUACCGGAUACUGACCCGCUUGGGCAUCCAAGCGGUUCGAAAGCUCCGGCGGUGCAGGAUGAGCCCGCGGCCUAUCAGCUUGUUGGUGAGGUAAUGGCUCACCAAGGCGACGACGGGUAGCCGGCCUGAGAGGGCGACCGGCCACACUGGGACUGAGACACGGCCCAGACUCCUACGGGAGGCAGCAGUGGGGAAUAUUGCACAAUGGGCGCAAGCCUGAUGCAGCGACGCCGCGUGAGGGAUGACGGCCUUCGGGUUGUAAACCUCUUUCAGUAGGGAAGAAGCCUUUCGGGGUGACGGUACCUGCAGAAGAAGCGCCGGCUAACUACGUGCCAGCAGCCGCGGUAAUACGUAGGGCGCAAGCGUUGUCCGGAAUUAUUGGGCGUAAAGAGCUCGUAGGCGGUUUGUCGCGUCUGCUGUGAAAACGCGAGGCUUAACCUCGCGCCUGCAGUGGGUACGGGCAGACUAGAGUGCGGUAGGGGAGACUGGAAUUCCUGGUGUAGCGGUGGAAUGCGCAGAUAUCAGGAGGAACACCGGUGGCGAAGGCGGGUCUCUGGGCCGUUACUGACGCUGAGGAGCGAAAGCAUGGGGAGCGAACAGGAUUAGAUACCCUGGUAGUCCAUGCCGU